This is a non-coding RNA of Microcebus murinus (gray mouse lemur), 1089 nucleotides long. NCBI's taxonomy places the organism in Eukaryota, Metazoa, Chordata, Mammalia, Primates, Cheirogaleidae. The record is from RefSeq and is a predicted model, not a curated record.
GCGCUUCCUCUCCGCCCCUCGCGGGAAGCCCCACCCUCAGGCCUGGGGCCAAUCACAGAGGCAGGAGUCCGGGAGCGGCUCCGGUCACCUCCGAGACCCACUCUGUACGGUGCAGGGAGAGGUGGUGAAUCGAGCAGCUCAGACCUGGGGCACCGUGAGGGCUUCCAGUGGAGAAGACUUACUUCAGCUUGGCUGCCUGGGUAGGCUCUAAUAUGAGACGCAGCUGUUCACACAACUGUUGUGAAAGAGGCGCAGUUAAGACCAGGUAACUCUGCCACAUCUCAGCUGCAGCCUUCUCCUGUGACAACAGAAUGUUCAAGUCAUCUGGAAGGUCCAAGGCCUCAGGUUCUGGCAGCUUUUCCUGAUUGCCAUGGCUUCCCUCAAGGGCACCAUGAGCCCCUGCAGCCAGCAAGAACACCAGUCCGCGGCUCGGUUUAGUCAGGAGAGGAAUCGCUGCAACAGAUUAUGGACUUCUGGCUUGGUGCAGAUGGUGACAGCACACACAGCUGCUGAGGUUUUCAGUUGCAGUUAAGCAGAAUAACAAACUUGUUUCAAAAGAUUACAAUAGGCUCCAUAUUGGGAACGUGUAAUUACCUAGAUAAAGCAUUUAUGUUUUCAAAAACAAGAAUGAAGCGAUGAUUUAUAAACUCAAACCUUGUUCUUCAAGCUCCCCAUCAUGCAUUUUCCCAUCAAAGUCUUCUGACAUCUCAAUGGCAUUAUCUUCUCCCUUAAUAUCCGAUCUUGAGUCAGGAUCCUCUUUGUCUUUUUCCUGACCCUUCUGAAAUGUGUCUUCCACCUAUAUCAAAAUAGAAAAUGUAAGCAAAUGCUGUAACUUCACUAAUGUUUACUUCUGCUCUGGAAUAUAAACGCCAAGGUUAAUAGUGUAAAAAUAUUUCUUUCUGGGCACACACACCAACACACAAAAAAAGGAGAACCAACAGUGAUAGCCAUAUGGAAUAAUUUGUAUAAGUUUGUUUUACAUUUCUGGAGUUAAUUCCCAUUUUAUUGCAUUUGUAAUCAGAGAAUAUGGAAUUUUGUUCAGGUUUUUGAAAUUCUUGGAAAUUGUAAUAAAAAAAAAUUCCAGAAACA